RNAcentral lists this ribosomal RNA (274 nucleotides) under uncultured bacterium. RNAcentral's name for it is "partial 16S ribosomal RNA". It matches the Rfam family "Bacterial small subunit ribosomal RNA", at positions 523 to 796 of the family's 1533-position model. The record is from RNAcentral.
AUACGGAGGGUGCAAGCGUUGUGCGGAAUCACUGGGCGUAAAGGGCGCGCAGGCGGUUUGGUAAGUCAGAUGUGAAAGCCCACGGCUCAACCGUGGAAGUGCAUUUGAAACUGCCAGACUUGAGUACCUGAGGGGAAAGUGGAAUUCCCGGUGUAGAGGUGAAAUUCGUAGAUAUCGGGAGGAAUACCGGUGGCGAAGGCGACUUUCUGGCUGGAUACUGACGCUGAGGCGCGAAAGCGUGGGGAGCAAACAGAAUUAGAUACCCUAGUAGUCC